Molecule: long non-coding RNA, 446 nt
Filed under: Junco hyemalis (dark-eyed junco)
Lineage: Eukaryota; Metazoa; Chordata; Aves; Passeriformes; Passerellidae
Description: lncRNA (ENSJHYG00000001275.1)
Source: RNAcentral
CCAGGUGCCCCCAGGUGCGCCCAGGUGCCCCCAGGUGCGCCCAGGUGCGUCAGUCGCCGCCGUUGGCGCGGAUGGUGCGGCGGAUCCAGGCGGUGAAGGCGCACACCCGGCUGUACACACCUGGCUUGCCCUGCUGGCCGCACACCUGCAGCCCCCAGGAGACCACGCCCUGCAGGUACCCGUCACACACCAGCGGGCCCCCGGAGUCACCCUGCGGCGGGGGACAGGGGGACAGGUGAGAAAUGGGACAGGUGGGACAGGUGGGACAGGUGAGACAGGUGAGAUUGGUGGGACAGGUGGGACACAGGUGGGACAGGUGAGACAGGUGGGACACAGGUGGGACAGGUGUGGGACAGGUGGGACAGGUGGGACAGGUGAGACACAGGUGGGACAGGUGAGACACAGGUGAGAGAUAAGUGAGAAAGAUGGAACAGGUGAAAUAGGUG